GCAUUGGUGGUUCAGUGGUAGAAUUCUUGCCUCUCACGCGGGAGUCCUGGGUUCAGUUCACAGCCAGUGCG
Molecule: non-coding RNA, 71 nt
Organism: Trichechus manatus latirostris (Florida manatee)
Lineage: Eukaryota; Metazoa; Chordata; Mammalia; Sirenia; Trichechidae
Source: the annotation of a RefSeq genome assembly